AGUUAAAUAGUACGUGAAAUUGUUGAAAGGGAAACGAUUGAAGUCAGUCAUGCUAGUGAAAAAUCAGUUUGACGGGUUUUGAGUUCUUGAGUAGAGGCAGGGUCAAACCGUUUCUCUUUUGGACUUGGGAUUUGUUAGAUGUACUUUUUCUUUGGCAGGUCAACGUCGGUUUCGGGGGUUGUAAAAUACUUAGGGGAAAGUAGCUCUGCUUCGGGAGAGUGUUAUAGACCCUGGGAGAUGCAGCUUGUGGGAUCGAGGAUUGCAGCAAAUGCCUUUGGCUUGUCGCCUGACCCUGGGUGUUACCUCUCUUGUGACAACAUUCUUGCCACCGGAGGGUGCUAAUGCCUACUGUUUAGUGCGAUCGAAAAUUUUGCUAAGGAUGUUGACGUAAUGGCUUUAAA
This 401-nucleotide unclassified non-coding RNA is filed under the name uncultured Diversispora. RNAcentral's name for it is "sequence contains 28S rRNA gene". Lineage: Eukaryota; Fungi; Glomeromycota; Glomeromycetes; Diversisporales; Diversisporaceae. The record is from RNAcentral.